This 479-nucleotide long non-coding RNA is filed under the name Phascolarctos cinereus (koala). RNAcentral describes it as "lncRNA (ENSPCIG00000032259.1)". The record is from RNAcentral. Lineage: Eukaryota; Metazoa; Chordata; Mammalia; Diprotodontia; Phascolarctidae.
GAAACAGACUCAGAGAAGGGAGUUGACUUUCCUGUGGUCACACAGCAAUACAUGGCAAAAGUAGGACUUAAGAGAUGCCCAGGCCGAGGUACCACACUAAUCCUAUUUCCACCUCCCAAGUCAGCUUAUUCUGCCUCCUCAUAGUGAAGAUGCACAGGGCUUCAAAAAGCUACUAAUGGCCACAGCUGCAGUGUCAUUGUUUAAUUUUGUGCCAGUCAUGAAUUUUCAAGCUAUUGUUUUGAUUUUCAGGCUCCCACUGAUGAAGCUGGUUGCCGUGGAAAUUACCAGGCUGCAGAUGAUUUCAGUCUCAAGGUUGAGUUGGAUAUAUGUUGGGGUAUGCCGAAGACUGUUCCCACUGGCUUUCAAGAAAUGAUUAUUAAAUUAUCAGUGUCAGCAUUUACACUUCAGAAGUCAGCAAAAACUACAAAUAAGGGCUUGAUUUAUUGUUUUGUUGAAUGUCUAGGCUUAAGAAAGUGAUG